This 401-nucleotide unclassified non-coding RNA is filed under the name soil metagenome. Its description in RNAcentral is "partial contains 5.8S ribosomal RNA, internal transcribed spacer 2, and large subunit ribosomal RNA". The stretch from base 1 to 121 matches the Rfam family "5.8S ribosomal RNA", at positions 35 to 154 of the family's 154-position model. The record is from RNAcentral.
GAUGAAGAACGCAGCGAAAUGCGAUAAGUAAUGUGAAUUGCAGAAUUCAGUGAAUCGUCGAAUCUUUGAACGCACCUUGCGCCCUUUGGCCAUUCCGAAGGGCAUGCCUGUUUGAGUAUCAUGAACACCUCAACUCUCAUGGCUCGCCAUGAUGAGCUUGGAUUUGGGGGUCUUGCUGGCCUGUGGUCGGCUCCUCUCAAAUGGAUCAGCUUGCCAGUGUUUGGUGGCAUCACAGGUGUGAUAACUAUCUGCGCUUGUGGUUUUCCAUCAGAUAACCUUCAGUGAUGGAGGUUCGCUGGAGCUCAUAAACGUCUCCCCUAAGCGGGGACAGCCCUUUGAAUGUUUGAUCUCAAAUCAGGUAGGACUACCCGCUGAACUUAAGCAUAUCAAUAAGCGGAGGA